GGGGUCAUGUAUGGUGGCAACGUUGGUCUUGGAUACUUGAAUGCCAUUUCCAAGGGAUCCCGUAUAGUCAAUAGGUUGAUCAUGUUAAACAUUGGCAGCGAGAGUCCAACUAACGUUCCUCCUAUCAGUAUCGCCGCGUGUUUGUUUCUUCUUGUUGCCCAGUACGACAGGUCCAGCAACAUUGCAGACGGUAUCCAUACAGGUACAGCAACGAAGUCAUAUGGAUAUCCAAGAGCAAACCAAGCGCCCUUUGCAACCCAAGUAUAAAUCGUCAUUAUAGUGGCGUAAUAGGUUGCUGUCCCUGGCACUCCCGUAAACAACAUGUAAUAGAUCGCACCCACAACAAGCAUCGUCGAUUGCGAUAUUGAAAACACGACGAAUGACGUCCAUGCCCAAUCAG
This 400-nucleotide unclassified non-coding RNA is filed under the name uncultured fungus. Its description in RNAcentral is "sequence contains ITS1". The record is from RNAcentral. Lineage: Eukaryota; Fungi.